RNAcentral lists this RNase P RNA (370 nucleotides) under Rothia sp. ZJ932. RNAcentral's name for it is "Bacterial RNase P class A". It matches the Rfam family "Bacterial RNase P class A". Rfam says of the family: Ribonuclease P (RNase P) is a ubiquitous endoribonuclease, found in archaea, bacteria and eukarya as well as chloroplasts and mitochondria. Its best characterised activity is the generation of mature 5'-ends of tRNAs by cleaving the 5'-leader elements of precursor-tRNAs. The record is from Rfam by way of RNAcentral. Lineage: Bacteria; Bacillati; Actinomycetota; Actinomycetes; Micrococcales; Micrococcaceae.
CGGGAUGCUCAGGCAAUCGCGCGACGCAAACACGUCUCGAGGAAAGUCCGGGCUCCACAGCACAGGAUGGUGGAUAACAUCCACUCAGGGCAACCUGCAGGCCAGUGCCACAGAAAACAAACCGCCCACCGGAUCACGGUAGGUAAGGGUGAAAAGGUAGUGUAAGAGACUACCAGUACCCCAAGCGAUUGAGGUAGCUCGGUAAACCCCAUCCGGAGCAAGGUCAAACAGAGCAUGCUCGAAGGUAGUGCGCCUAAUAUGCUCGGGUAGACCGCUUGAACCCCACAGCAAUGUCGGGUCUAGAUGGAUGAUUGCCCCCACCCUUCACAGAAGGUGGCGACAGAACCCGGCUCAUCGAGCAUCCCGUGUU